Molecule: ribosomal RNA, 253 nt
Filed under: uncultured bacterium
Lineage: Bacteria
Description: partial 16S ribosomal RNA
Rfam family: Bacterial small subunit ribosomal RNA
Source: RNAcentral
UACAGAGGGUGCAAGCGUUAAUCGGAAUUACUGGGCGUAAAGCGUGCGUAGACGGUCAUGUAAGUCGGGUGUGAAAGCCCCGGGCUCAACCUGGGAAUUGCAUUCGAGACUGCAUGGCUAGGGUGCGGAAGAGGGAAGCGGAAUUUCCGGUGUAGCGGUGAAAUGCGUAGACAUCGGAAGGAACACCAGUGGCGAAAGCGGCUUCCUGGUCCAGCACCGACGUUCAGGCACGAAAGCGUGGGGAGCAAACAGG